Long non-coding RNA from Capsicum annuum, 748 nucleotides. RefSeq lists it as uncharacterized. The record is from RefSeq and is a predicted model, not a curated record. Lineage: Eukaryota; Viridiplantae; Streptophyta; Magnoliopsida; Solanales; Solanaceae. The transcript has 3 exons.
CUCCUCUAUUUUAUCCAGACUAGGGAUCGACAUAAGAGUGCUAAGCUCGUUUUGAAACUUUUCUAACUUGCGAUAACAGGUUUGUAACUGUUGCGUCUGGAGCAGCCUCGGGGAAAUAUUUGCAGUAUGAGUUGUGGGAGGUCCCAGAAUUUCUGUUCAAACAGCUUACGGAGUGGAAGUUGAGGUAGAGAAAGAUCACCAAAGAUUAAGUACCUGUCAAGCAAUCGACUUACUGGACCAAUUUAAGAUUGGAUCAGAAAUAGAAAUACCAAAUACUUUUUAUGCAGGCAUUUGCUUGAAUAAGUACAAAAAGGGUUGCUCCAUGGUUUCGGGAUAGCUGUCACGUAGCAAGCAAGUUGUAUUUUGGCAUAAUCCCAUAUGAGCUAGCUUUACUUUCGUGAGUAAUCUUCCGUGCAUUGCAAUCCAGGAGAUAAAACUAUGUUUUGGGAUGUUUGUUGUGUUCCAUACCGCUCUCCAUCAUUGUUUUUGUGGUUCUUCUCCGAGCCUCCAUUUAAAGCCACUACUAAUAGUAUACUGCCCAUUUGGUUUUAGCCAUCCGUUACCCAUGUAACCGGUAAAAGAAGAUGGACAGUUGGCACAUUCUAAUGAGGAUGAGAGCACCCAAAAAAUGUUCUUGUGAUCCUAUCGCACCGCUGGAAUUGCCUCAUUCUUUGCAUGCCUUUCACUGGGUUUCUCCAUCUGAUGAACUGAACAUGGAAGGUUUCCAUACAUUUUGUGGAGGGUUCUG